This 497-nucleotide ribosomal RNA is filed under the name uncultured bacterium. Its description in RNAcentral is "partial 16S ribosomal RNA". It matches the Rfam family "Bacterial small subunit ribosomal RNA", at positions 28 to 507 of the family's 1533-position model. The record is from RNAcentral.
GAUGAACGCUGGCGGCGUGCCUAAUACAUGCAAGUCGAGCGAACAGACGAGGAGCUUGCUCCUCUGACGUUAGCGGCGGACGGGUGAGUAACACGUGGAUAACCUACCUAUAAGACUGGGAUAACUUCGGGAAACCGGAGCUAAUACCGGAUAACAUGUUGAACCGCAUGGUUCAACAGUGAAAGACGGUCUUGCUGUCACUUAUAGAUGGAUCCGCGCCGCAUUAGCUAGUUGGUAAGGUAACGGCUUACCAAGGCAACGAUGCGUAGCCGACCUGAGAGGGUGAUCGGCCACACUGGAACUGAGCCACGGUCCAGACUCCUACGGGAGGCAGCAGUAGGGAAUCUUCCGCAAUGGGCGAAAGCCUGACGGAGCAACGCCGCGUGAGUGAAGAAGGUCUUCGGAUCGUAAAACUCUGUUAUUAGGGAAGAACAAAUGUGUAAGUAACUAUGCACGUCUUGACGGUACCUAAUCAGAAAGCCACGGCUAACUACGUG